RNAcentral lists this ribosomal RNA (1032 nucleotides) under uncultured organism. Its description in RNAcentral is "bacterial SSU rRNA". It matches the Rfam family "Bacterial small subunit ribosomal RNA", at positions 222 to 1255 of the family's 1533-position model. The record is from RNAcentral.
GGGAUCGGACCGCGUACUAUUAGCUUGUUGGUAAGGUAACGGCUUACCAAGGCGACGAUGACUAUGGGGUCUGAGAGGAUGGUCCCCCACACUGGUACUGAGACACGGACCAGACUCCUACGGGAGUGCAGCAGUGAGGAAUAUUGGGCAAUGGGCGCAAGCCUGACCCAGCCAUGCCGCGUGCAAGAUGACUGCCCUAUGGGUUGUAAACUGCUUUUAUACGGGAAGAAUGGUUCCUACGUGUAGGGAUUUGACGGUACCGUAAGAAUAAGCAUCGGCUAACUCCGUGCCAGCAGCCGCGGUAAUACGGAGGAUGCAAGCGUUAUCCGGAUUCAUUGGGUUUAAAGGGUGCGCAGGCGGAAUAUUAAGUCAGUGGUGAAAUCCUGCAGCUUAACUGUAGAACUGCCAUUGAUACUGAUGUCCUUGAAUAUAGUUGAGGUGGGCGGAAUGUGUAAUGUAGCGGUGAAAUGCUUAGAUAUUACACAGAAGACCGAUUGCGAAGGCAGCUCACUAAACUAAUAUUGACGCUGAGGCACGAAAGCGUGGGGAGCGAACAGGAUUAGAUACCCUGGUAGUCCACGCUGUAAACGAUGAUCACUCGCUGUUGGCAAUACAUCGUCAGCGGCUGAGCGAAAGCAUUAAGUGAUCCACCUGGGGAAUACGAUCGCAAGAUUGAAACUCAAAGGAAUUGACGGGGGCCCGCACAAGCGGAGGAACAUGUGGUUUAAUUCGCUGAUACCGCGAGGAACCUUACCUGGGCUUAAAUGCAGAACGACGUUUCGGGAAACCGGAAUUUCUUCGGACGGACUGCAAGGUGCUGCAUGGCUGUCGUCAGCUCGUGCCGUGAGGUGUCGGGUUAAGUCCCAUAACGAGCGCAACCCUUAUCGUUAGUUGCCAGCGGGUAAUGCCGGGGACUCUAACGAAACUGCCGGUGUAAACCGUGAGGAAGGUGGGGAUGACGUCAAGUCAGCACGGCCCUUAUGUCCAGGGCUACACACGUGUUACAAUGGUCGGUACAAAGGGCAGCUACCU